RNAcentral lists this ribosomal RNA (118 nucleotides) under Escherichia coli. RNAcentral's name for it is "partial 23S ribosomal RNA". The stretch from base 1 to 106 matches the Rfam family "Bacterial large subunit ribosomal RNA", at positions 2820 to 2925 of the family's 2925-position model. The record is from RNAcentral. Lineage: Bacteria; Pseudomonadati; Pseudomonadota; Gammaproteobacteria; Enterobacterales; Enterobacteriaceae.
GAGUCUCCUGAAGGAACGUUGAAGACGACGACGUUGAUAGGCCGGGUGUGUAAGCGCAGCGAUGCGUUGAGCUAACCAGUACUAAUGAACCGUGAGGCUUAACCUUACAACGCCGAAG